RNAcentral lists this unclassified non-coding RNA (333 nucleotides) under Cercozoa sp. RNAcentral's name for it is "partial contains small subunit ribosomal RNA, internal transcribed spacer 1, and 5.8S ribosomal RNA". The stretch from base 1 to 47 matches the Rfam family "Eukaryotic small subunit ribosomal RNA", at positions 1785 to 1831 of the family's 1831-position model. The record is from RNAcentral. Lineage: Eukaryota; Cercozoa.
AAAGUCGUAACAAGGUUUCCGUAGGUGAACCUGCGGAAGGAUCAUUAACACGUAUCCACGUAUCAACCCCUCUGUGCAAACCUAUUUUCGAAAGGCUAGGUUGGAGUGCUUCUGCUCGCAUGGGUCCUAAUGAUGGGAGCUUCGGCUCAGGGCUCGAGCAGUUGCGCGUUUGACAAUCUGCCGCUACUUUUCCAUCGUUGGCCCCUUUUUAUCUACCUUUUAACCCCUUGUACUUCUUUUGUACUGAACCAAUUCUUCGAUGCUCUCUCUGAGAGCGACGAAAGAUAUUACGAAACUUAAGAACAACUCUUAGCAACGGAUAUCUUGGUUCCC